UUGGCCAUUUUAGUUGAAGCAGUUUGUACCUUACGCUGAGUGUCGCUGCUCUUCUCUGUUGCUCCGUCUCACUCUGCUGUCAGUCACUCGGUGUCCUUCGUCUUAUGUGACUCACAGCAGACAGACAAAGAAGGGCGGGACUCUGGAGUCGUGUCUGUUGUUCAGGAGGUUUAGCUACAGGAAUUUGAACACA
Thalassophryne amazonica is the source of this 193-nucleotide long non-coding RNA. RefSeq lists it as uncharacterized. The record is from RefSeq and is a predicted model, not a curated record. The transcript has 3 exons. NCBI's taxonomy places the organism in Eukaryota, Metazoa, Chordata, Actinopteri, Batrachoidiformes, Batrachoididae.